ACCCUUCUUACCUGCC
This 16-nucleotide transfer RNA is filed under the name Melopsittacus undulatus (budgerigar). RNAcentral's name for it is "partial tRNA-His". The record is from RNAcentral. Lineage: Eukaryota; Metazoa; Chordata; Aves; Psittaciformes; Psittaculidae.